AAUCAACGCUGGCGGCGUGCCUCAGACAUGCAAGUCGAACGAUUAAAGCUCUCUUCGGAGAGUGUAUAGAGUGGCGCACGGGUGAGUAACACGUAAGUAAUCUACCUUUGAGUGGGGAAUAACAGUCGGAAACGACUGCUAAUACCGCAUAAUGCAGCGGCAUCGCAAGAUGACAGUUGUUAAAGGAGCAAUCCGCUUAAAGAGGAGCUUGCGGCAGAUUAGCUAGUUGGUAAGGUAAUGGCUUACCAAGGCUACGAUCUGUAUCCGGUCUAAGAGGACGGUCGGACACACUGACACUGAAUAACGGUCAGACUCCUACGGGAGGCAGCAGUCGGGAAGUUUUGGGCAAUGGGCGAAAGCCUGACCCAGCAACGCCGCGUGAAGGAUGAAGUA
RNAcentral lists this ribosomal RNA (393 nucleotides) under uncultured bacterium. Its description in RNAcentral is "bacterial SSU rRNA". It matches the Rfam family "Bacterial small subunit ribosomal RNA", at positions 32 to 415 of the family's 1533-position model. The record is from RNAcentral.